AGGCGGAGUUCAAGCUCCACAACUGACCAAAAAAAAGGGGGGAGAUCAAAUGGGGAGGGGGCUGAGUAAGUAAUGUGUGUUUCAAAGUACUAUGAGUUGCCUUUGUUCUUAUAUUCUACAGCAAUGGAAGAUGAAACUACACUGGGCUUGGAACCCGGUGAAGGACUGAGAUAUAGACUUAGGUGCACACAUUUAGGUGCCAAGCUUAUUCUAGCUGCACAAAAUCCAUACAUGUUAUUAUAAAUGGUAUAGUUUCUAACCAAACUUGUAAAAUCUAGUAAUGACCUAAAUAUCUUGGUCACUUUUAUUUAAGCAGUAACAUAUAAUUGAAAGUAAAAGCAAAAUUUAAUUUUUACAUAUUAAAGUGUUUAGUCUAUACUUAAUUUUCCACCAAGCCCUGCACAAUUUUUCAGCUAAGGAUUCUAACUUUUCUGAAAGAGCAGUUUUAAAGGGACAUGAACUAAACUGAAUUGGAUAACAUUUCU
This is a long non-coding RNA of Dipodomys spectabilis (banner-tailed kangaroo rat), 485 nucleotides long. RefSeq lists it as uncharacterized. Lineage: Eukaryota; Metazoa; Chordata; Mammalia; Rodentia; Heteromyidae. The transcript has 3 exons. The record is from RefSeq and is a predicted model, not a curated record.